RNAcentral lists this ribosomal RNA (265 nucleotides) under uncultured bacterium. RNAcentral's name for it is "partial 16S ribosomal RNA". It matches the Rfam family "Bacterial small subunit ribosomal RNA", at positions 524 to 788 of the family's 1533-position model. The record is from RNAcentral.
UACAUAGGGUGCGAGCGUUGUCCGGAAUUAUUGGGCGUAAAGAGCUUGUAGGCGGUUUGUCGCGUCUGCCGUGAAAAUUCGAGGCUCAACCUCGAACUUGCGGUGGGUACGGGCAGACGUAGAGUGUGGUAGGGAGACUGGAAUUCUGGUGUAGCGGUGAAAUGCGCAGAUAUCAGGAGGAACACCGAGUGGCGAAGGCAGGUCUCUGGCCACUACUGACGCUGGAGAAGCGAAGACAUGGGAGCGAACAGGAAUUAGACUACCG